Small nucleolar RNA from Cercocebus atys (sooty mangabey), 71 nucleotides. The record is from Ensembl. Lineage: Eukaryota; Metazoa; Chordata; Mammalia; Primates; Cercopithecidae.
AAAUAAUGAGAUCACUCCAAAUAGCUGAGGUUACCUGCAAAUUGUUUAGUGGCAAACAUGGUUUUCUGAGG